CCGGCCACGCCAUCGCAGCGGGAGCGGUUCCGGGCGGGGGUCUGCGGGUCUGCCCCAGAGUAUCCGCGGCUCCCCACGGCAGUCCUAGUGUUGAAAACCGCGGCCCCAACCUCCCCUCCCCACCCUGCAAGGAGGACCGAGCGCCCAGCUGCGCGCAGGGGUGGCGCAGGGACGCUCUUGGCCUUAGGGCUGAGGCUGCUGCGGCGCAUCCCUGGCUCAGCCCCGCCUCUCCCGGGACCAGAGAAGCUCUGAAGACAGACUGUAAAUUCUAGGAGGUCAAGACCACGUCUUCCCAGUUAAUCUCCACGUCCAGCAUAGAGCGGUGAUGUGAUCACUUCGGUGUGGCAGCCCUGGAAGAUAUUAUAUUGGGCAGCAGGGAGAACAAAGCUCGCUGAGAUCUGAAAUUACUUUAGGAGCUUACCAAAAACUUCCGUAACGGGAAAUAUUUAUAAGGCAGUACACUUCCUUCCAAACCGUAAAGUCAUUGAAGGACAAGUAUGAGGCAUUUGAGAUUUCCAGCGUUCUCAAGCGAGUGUCCCCUGGUUGAAUUCUGGACAAUGCUGGUGAGGCUGAUUGGUUUAUCUGAAAGGUCUAUUUUGUUGUUUUAAAGUCAGAGAUUGUGAAAGGGAACAGACUGCCUGCCUGUUUCUGCCCUCCCCACUUUUAUUUCAGAAGAAGAUACUAUUAUUAUAAACAUGGUGAUUCUUAGACCAUCUCUAACUUGACAGCAAAUGAGAACGAUUCUCCCUCGCGAGCGAUGAUUCCAAGAGAGCACGGGGAUUCGUUCAUGUGCCAAAGAACAUUACAGAACCGCUGAGCUCAGGACGGGGAGAUACACACUCUUACUGUGUUUACCAGAACACAUUAUUUUGUGUGACCGUUGGGUUUACAUGUGGCCGCCUGGCUAGAUAAUCAGCUUCAUGAGCAUGUGAACUCUGCCUGCCUAUGUCCACCUUGGCAUCCCAGCACCUAGUACAGUGCCUGGCACGUAGUCGAUGCUCAAUAAAUAUUUACAGGAUAUGUAAGUGACUGAGGGAAUGGUCUGAACCAGCUCUAUGCCUUUACCUUCAUCAUAGGGGAGCUAUAACCCUAUCUCAUUUGAACUGAGAAGUCACGUGACUUUCCCAUAUAUGAUUGAAGCCAGAGUGAGAAUUUGGGUCUUCCAGACCCAGCAGAUGCCAUUGCAUUCCUCCAUUCGUGAAAUAAUGAUUUAACAAGCACCUACUACGUUUAAGAAACGGAGCCAGGCAUAGGAGCAGCAUGUUAAACAAGUCACAUGGAUUGGGUCCUCACAGAGCUUUUCGUCUUAACGGGGAAACAGAGCUCACAAGAAAGGAGAUUCCACAGCAAGGGAAAUAGACGCUGAACAAGUACACUGUCCCCAGUAGAGAGGGAGGAGAAUGUGGUUCCUGUUAGUGUUGCUGUGGGACAAGGUCCCCAAAGCGUGGUGUCUUAGGGGGGGCCUUGUGUGGUGGUAGAAAAGUUCUCUAUCUUGGUUGUGAUGGUGGUUUCAUGACUAUGCAUUUGCCAAAACUCAUCAAAUGGUACACCUAAAAGGGGUAAAUUUUAAAUUUUACUAAAUAUUAAUUGUAUCCUACUAAACUGACUUUAAAAAUUAAACAAGAAACCUUAGAGGCUGAAAGCAACCGUCGUUGAUUAUGCUCACAGAUACCAUGCACUGGCAGCAGGGAGGGACAUGGUGGAGAGAUCUGUCUCCUCCACAAAGUCUGGGACCUCGGCUGGGAAGACCCAUAGGCCGGAAGUGACCAAGUGGCUGAGGGCUGGAGUCACUAGGACGCCCCCCACCGUGUCUGGUGUCUGGGCUCUGGGCUGUAGUGACUAGAAGACAAGAAUGAAUGCCCCCUGGAGCACCUCAUUUCAGCCUCUCGACUCAGCAGCUCCUUGUGGAGUGCCCACGGUCCACCGGCACUUCUGUGGACACUAGGAUACAGGAGUUAAUGCCGUAGGCAAAUAUCCCUGCCCUGUUGUAAUCGACAGUCUGGAGAUGGAAGGCAGACAAAAACCAAUGAACAUUACAAAUAUGUAAAUUAAUGGUAUGUUGGAGGUAAUACAUGCGUGCAAUAAACAUCAUAGGCAAGGUAUGAGGAUAAGGAGGAGGGUGGGGAGAACAUUCCCUACGAAUGGCAGCUCCUGGAGUUGUGUGUGGUUGGCGGCCUUGAUUUUGUUUUGCCAACCAGAUAGUCCAAAAUGGCACCUCUUUUGGCUUCAAUUGCAUUUUCUGGUUAUCAGUGAGCUGAGAAUCUCUUCAGGUGUGUGGCAGAGAGACUGCUGGCUGGUCACCCAACAUGGUUCCUCUUUUCUUGGGCACAGUUAGACUACGUCUCCCAGGCUGGCCUGCAGUUAGCUGUGGCCUUGAAUGGAGUUCCAACCCACAGAACGUGAGCAGGAAUCAGGCCCCACGUCCAAGUCCAGCCCAGGAAAACCUCCCACGUGGAAUCUCUCACCCUCUUUCCUUCCUCCAGCUGCCCAAUUCCUGCAGCAACUUUGGAAUCACCACGUUGGAGGUGGCAGAACCUCCAACAGAACUUCACCCCCCGCUUCCCAAGCCUAGAAUUUUUGCCUUGUUUAUAUGAGCAGGAAAUGCACUUCUGUCAUGGGGUCUAUGUGUUACAGCAGCAACCCUAUCCUAGCAAAGGCAACGUGUUUAUUGGCUGUUUGGUUUCUCUCUGCUGAGGGUUGCUGCUCACACUCUUCACCAAACUUAGUACGGAGGUUGUUUAUUCUUUUUUAUUUAUCAGUAGGAGACCUUCAUAUGCUGCUUUUCAAAGCGCGGUUUGUGGACCAGCAGCAUAAACGGUGCCCAAGCCCUUGUUGAAAAUGCAGAAUCUCAGGCCCCGCCCAAACCUGCUCAAUCUGAACCUGCAUUUUCAAAGCUGCCCGGUGAUUCCUCAACGUUAAGUUUAAGAAGCACUGCCUCGAAUGUCCUCAGAUCGUCCUUCCUUUUUAUAUGCAUUGAAUUCAUCUUCUGCUAGGCUGUAGCUACCUUAGCCUUUUGGGGCUCUAUCUUCUCAUGUACAAAUUUUUUUUUUUUUUUUAAAUUGACAUCGUAGUAUUUACCAGUAUUCCCUGUUUUGGUCAGUUUGUCUUUGUCCAUUAAGAAAUACUUCUCUUCCUAAAGUCAUACAGAUACUGUGCUAUAUUUUCUUUAAAAGUUUUAGGUUUUCUUUUCAUAGAAUGUUCUUCCAUCUGGAAUUUGUUUGUUUAUGGUGUGCAAUAAUGCUCUCAUUUUGUUUUCUUAUAUGGAUGAUCAGUUAGCUCAUCACCAGCCACUGAAUUAUCCAUCCAUUCCUUCCUGAUUCGUAACGUGCCCGCAGUCAUAGGUGGUAUGUCAAGUUUCCAUACAUGUACCGUUCACAUCUCUGGUCUCCCUCUUUGAAUGUGUAACCUGCUUUUUUUUUUUUUUUUUCCAUUUAACCAUAUAUCGUGAAUGUUUCUCCACCCCAGUAGGUGUUCUUUCACAACGCAAAUGUUAACAGCUGCCCAGUACUCUGCCAUACUUAAUUUUGUUAGACAGUUACAUUAUUUUCAGUUCAACUCUAUUGUAAAUAUUGCUGGG
Molecule: non-coding RNA, 3577 nt
Organism: Microcebus murinus (gray mouse lemur)
Lineage: Eukaryota; Metazoa; Chordata; Mammalia; Primates; Cheirogaleidae
Source: RefSeq, a predicted model, not a curated record